Chinchilla lanigera (long-tailed chinchilla) is the source of this 778-nucleotide long non-coding RNA. RefSeq lists it as uncharacterized. NCBI's taxonomy places the organism in Eukaryota, Metazoa, Chordata, Mammalia, Rodentia, Chinchillidae. The record is from RefSeq and is a predicted model, not a curated record. The transcript has 4 exons.
GUCAGGCGUGACACUGUCUGGCCUGCGUUCCUGCUCUGGGGAGGAGCACCAGGCGUGCGAGAGGCAGGUUAUUUAAGGAGCCCAGCGAUGAAUCCAGAUGACUCAGGUCCACCCCGGGAGGGAUUUCCUUAAAAGACCUCUCAGUUUGUGGGAGCUCAGACCGACACGACUGUUCACAACGUAGGCGCCUCCUGCCUGGAGCUGCCGCUGGGCUCAGACACCAAGCCACGAGCAGAAACCCAAGCUAAAAAUACCCUGCCUCUCCAUCACCCACCCCGCUCAGCAGAGUCAACGGUGGCCCCAGGCGCAGGGGUCUCACAACCAGGUAGCUGUUGGUCUGAGCAUCAAACAGUGACAAGAAUCCCUGCCCUGUGCCCCAGGACCCUCCGCUCCACACCUGGAGGUUGGAUACAGUUAGCAGAAGGCAAAGAGCAACUACAGAAAGGAAUGUCAACAACAUUGAUCCCACUCUACUCGAGAAAGAAUGGCCAUUGUCAGGAAACCAAAUAACAAAUGCUGGCCAGGCUGCUGGGGAGACACAAGCCCUGCUACAUUUCCCAUGGGAAUGUAAACCAGUACAACCACUAUGGAGAUUGGAAUGCAGACUCCUCAAAAAACUGAAACCAGAAAUUCCAACUGACCCAGCUAUUCCCCUUCUAGGAUCUUCCCAAAAGAGUUGAGGACAUCAUGAUGUAGUGAUCCACGCACACUGUUUGUAGCAACACAACUCCUGGUAGCUAUAUCUUGGAAGCAGCCUGUAAGUCCACCAGCAGAUGAA